UGGGGGAAUUUUGGACAAUGGGCGAAAGCCUGAUCCAGCAAUGCCGCGUGUGUGAAGAAGGCCUUCGGGUUGUAAAGCACUUUUGUCCGGAAAGAAAUCCUCUGGGUUAAUACCUCGGGGGGAUGACGGUACCGGAAGAAUAAGCACCGGCUAACUACGUGCCAGCAGCCGCGGUAAUACGUAGGGUGCAAACGUUAAUCGGAAUUACUGGGCGUAAAGCGUGCGCAGGCGGUUUUGUAAGACGGAUGUGAAAUCCCCGGGCUUAACCUGGGAACUGCAUUCGUGACUGCAAGGCUAGAGUAUGGCAGAGGGGGGUUAGAAUUCCACGUGUAGCAGUGAAAUGCGUAGAGAUGUGGAGGAAUACCGGUGGCGAAGGCAGCCCCCUGGGCCAAUACUGACGCUCAUGCACGAAAGCGUGGGGGAGCAAACAGGAUUCAGAUACCCUGGUAGUCCACGCCCUAAACGAUGUCAACUAGUUGUUGGGGAUUCAUUCCUUAGUAACGUAGCUAACGCGUGAAGUUGACCGCCUGGGGGAGUACGGUCG
RNAcentral lists this ribosomal RNA (544 nucleotides) under uncultured bacterium. Its description in RNAcentral is "partial 16S ribosomal RNA". It matches the Rfam family "Bacterial small subunit ribosomal RNA", at positions 354 to 888 of the family's 1533-position model. The record is from RNAcentral.